CGGGGUGCACCAGGCGCGAAAACUUUACAAUGCUGGCAACAGCGAUAAGGGGACCUCGAGUGCCAGGAUACAAUCUUGGCUGUCGCGAUGCCUAAAAAGCAUUGCAUAGCAAGGGCCGGGCAAGACCGGUGCCAGCCGCCGCGGUAACACCGGCGGCUCGAGUGGUAACCGCUAUUAUUGGGUCUAAAGGGUCUGUAGCCGGCCGGAUAAGUCUUUUGGGAAAUCCAGCUGCUUAACAGUUGGGCUUUCAGAAGAUACUGUUCGGCUCGAGACCGGGAGAGGUGAGAGGUACUUCAGGGGUAGGGGUGAAAUCUUGUAAUCCUUGAAGGACCACCAGCGGCGAAGGCGUCUCACCAGAACGGAUCUGACGGCAAGGGACGAAAGCUAGGGGCACGAACCGGAUUAGAUACCCGGGUAGUCCUAGCCGUAAACGAUACUCGCUAGGUGUCAGCCACGGUGCGACCGUGGUUGGUGCCGUAGGGAAGCCGUGAAGCGAGCCACCUGGGAAGUACGGCCGCAAGGCUGAAACUUAAAGGAAUUGGCGGGG
This 547-nucleotide ribosomal RNA is filed under the name uncultured archaeon. RNAcentral's name for it is "bacterial SSU rRNA". It matches the Rfam family "Archaeal small subunit ribosomal RNA", at positions 326 to 873 of the family's 1478-position model. The record is from RNAcentral.